Molecule: ribosomal RNA, 497 nt
Filed under: uncultured bacterium
Lineage: Bacteria
Description: partial 16S ribosomal RNA
Rfam family: Bacterial small subunit ribosomal RNA
Source: RNAcentral
GACGAACGCUGGCGGCGUGCCUAAUACAUGCAAGUCGAGCGGACAGACGGGAGCUUGCUCCCUGAUGUUAGCGGCGGACGGGUGAGUAACACGUGUGUAACCUGCCUCUAAGACUGGGAUAACUCCGGGAAACCGGGGCUAAUACCGGAUGGUUGUCUUAACCGCAUGGUUCAGACAUGAAAGGUGGCUUCGGCUUCCACUUACAGAAGGACCCGCGGCUGAUUAGCUAGUUGGUGAGGUAACGGCCCAACAAGGCAACGAUGCGUAGCCGACCUGGAAAGGUGAACCGCCCAACUGGGAACGGGGACAGGCCCAGGAUUCCAAGGGAGGCAGCAGUAGGGAAACUUUCGGAAAUGGGGGAAGUCUGAAGGGGCAAAGCCGGGGGAGUGGUGGAGGGUCUCGGGUCGGUAAGACCUGUUGUUAGGGAAGAAAAAGAGGCGUUCAAAUAGGGCGGCACCUUGACGGUACCUAACCAGAAAGCCACGGCUAACUACGUG